GUUGGUCGGCGCCUCCGCUUGGGUCGCCUUUGCAAUGGGCGCAGCGGGGGUGUGCUGCCCUAAUGCUGCCGUGCAAGUCGGCUGCCAAUUCC
Molecule: transfer RNA, 92 nt
Filed under: Candidatus Fervidibacter japonicus
Lineage: Bacteria; Candidatus Fervidibacterota; Fervidibacteria; Fervidibacterales; Fervidibacteraceae
Description: bacterium HR17 tRNA-Cys
Source: RNAcentral